This 222-nucleotide small nuclear RNA is filed under the name Crypthecodinium cohnii. Its description in RNAcentral is "partial Dictyostelium signal recognition particle". The record is from RNAcentral. Lineage: Eukaryota; Dinophyceae; Gonyaulacales; Crypthecodiniaceae.
AGGACUGGGGCGACAACAACGAGGACGAAGAAGAGCAGCAGCAGCAGGAAGAGGAGGAUCAUCAGGGCUCUUGGAAGAAGAGCAGCAGCAUUCGGGGCGCCAGCGCCGUCACCCCUCCCACUGCUGGAGCAGGAGGGCUGUUGAGGCCCACAGCGACCGGCAUCUCGGCACAGAAGGGCAGAGGAAAAGGCAAGGGCAAGAGCCAAUUGAAGGGGAAAGCCA